AUAGAAGUACUCUUGAUGAAAGACCAUGCAACCAACAAAUCAAGAGGAUUUGCUUUUGUCAUCUUUGAAUGCCCAGCAGACGCUAAGAAUGCAGCCAGAGACACGAAUGGAAAGUCAUUAGAUGGAAAAGCCAUCAAGGUGGAACAAGCCACCAAAUCAUCAUUUGAAAGUGGUAGACGUGGGCCACCUCCACCUCCAAGAAGUAGAGGCCCUCCAAGAGGUCUUAGAGGUGGAAGAGGAGGAAGUGGAAGAACCAGGGGACCUCCCUCACAGAGAGGACACAUGGAUGACGGUGGAUAUUACAUGAAUUUUAACAUGAGUUCUUCCAGGGGACCACUCCCAGGAAAAAAAGGACCACCAGGAAGUGGGGGUCCUCUUCCUAAGAGAUCUGCACCUUCAGAACCAGUUGGCAGCAGCAGUGGAAUGGGAGGAAGAGCUCCUGUAUCACGUAGAAGAGAUAGUUACGGAGGUCCACCUCGAAGAGAACCGCUGCCUUCUCGUAGAGAUGUUUAUUUGCCCCCAAGAGAUGAUGGGUAUUCUACUAAAGACAGCUAUUCCAGCAGAGAUUACCCAAGUUCUGGUGAUACAAGAGAUUAUGCACCACCACCAUGAGAUUAUACUUACCAUGAUUAUGGUCAUUCCAAUUCACGUGAUGACUAUCCAUCAAGAGGCUAUAGCGGUAGAGAGGGAGACGCCGUGACUAUUCAGAUCAUCCAAGUGGAGGUUCCUACAGAGAUUCAUAUGAGAGUUAUGGUAACUCACGUAGUGCUCCACCUCUACGAGGAUCCCCGCCAUCUUACGGAGGAAGCAGUCGCUAUGCUGAUGACGGCAGCUCACGUGACAGAUAUGGUGGAAGUCGAGACAGUUACUCAAGCAGCCGAAGUGAUCUCUACUCAAGUGGUUGUGAUCAGGUUGACAGACAAGAAAGAGGGCUUACCCCUUCUGUGGAAAGGGGGUACCCUGCUCCACAUGAUUCCUACAGCAGUUCAAGCCGCGGAGCACCGAGAGGUGGCGGCCGUGAACGAAGCUGAUCUGAUAGAGGGGGAGGCAGAAGCAGAUACUAGAAAAAAACAAAACUUUGGACCAAAAUCCCAGUUCAAAGAAACAAAAAGUGGAAACUAUUCUGUCGUAACUACCCAAGGACUACUAAAAAGAAAAAUUGUGUUAUCUUUUUAAAAUUCCCUGUUAAGUUCCCCUCCAUAGUUUUUAUAUUCUUCUGAGAAAAAAAGUAAAACAUGUUUAAUUUUAUUUGACUUUAUGACAUUGCUUUUCAACAAGCAAAUGUUAAAUGUGUUAAGACUUGUACUAGUGUUGUAACCUUCCAAGUAAAAGUGUCCCUAAAGGCCACUUCCUAUGUGAUUUUUCCCAGUAAGUGAGGCAAGCAAUUCUAAGCUCUUUCACAAAACAUCUAGUCAUCUAAAAUGGAGAGAUGAAUCAUUCUGCCUAUAGAAACAAGCUAGCUGUUAGAGGGUGGUCUAACAACUAAAACCUCCAUGAUCUCAGUAUGAAAAACCUGAAAUCAGAUGCCUAUGUAAGGAAAUAUUCACCCAGUAAACCCAACAAAGCAAAUGGAUAAUGCUGGCCACUUUGCCUUUCUGACAUUUCCUCGGGAAUCUGCAAGAACCUCCCUUUUCCCCUCCCCCAGUAACACCAUUUAAGUGUGUGUUAAACAACUACAGAUUACUAAAUAAAAAGUUUAGCCAAAACAAAACAAAAAAAAAGUUUUCCUCUUGUUCACGCUACAGUCUUAUGUGAACUGUCCUUUAAGCAGCUAAACUGGUAGCUAAACCAUCUAGAAAGUGAGCUAUCCAAGGUCACCAUGGCAGGCGAAGAGAUCUAAAGAACUCAAUUAAAAACCAGGCUGGCUGGGGCACGGUGGCUUAUCCCUGUAAUCCCAGCACUUUGGAAGACUGAGGCGGGCAGAUCACUUGACAUCAGGAGUUCAAGACCAGCCUAGCCAAGGCAGUGAAACCCUGUCUCUACUAAAAAUACAAAAGUUAGCUGGGCAUGGUGGUGUGUGCCUGUAAUCCCAGUUACUCGGGAGGCUGAGGCAGGAGAAUCGCUUGAACCCAGAAGGUGGAGGUUGCAGUGAGCCAAGACUGUACCACUGCCCUCCAGCGUGGAGGAGAAGGCAA
Non-coding RNA from Callithrix jacchus (white-tufted-ear marmoset), 2135 nucleotides. The record is from RefSeq and is a predicted model, not a curated record. Lineage: Eukaryota; Metazoa; Chordata; Mammalia; Primates; Cebidae.